AUACGGGGGGUGCAAGCGUUAUUCGGAAUCAUUGGGCGUAAAGGGCACGCAGGCGGCCUGGUAAGUCAGAUGUGAAAGCCCGGGGCUCAACCCCGGAAGUGCAUUUGAAACUAUCAGGCUUGAGUAUGGGAGAGGGAAGUGGAAUUCCUGGUGUAGAGGUGAAAUUCGUAGAUAUCAGGAGGAACACCGGUGGCGAAGGCGACUUCCUGGACCAAUACUGACGCUGAGGCGCGAAGGCGUGGGGAGCAAACAGGAUUAGAAACCCCAGUAGUCC
This 274-nucleotide ribosomal RNA is filed under the name uncultured bacterium. RNAcentral describes it as "partial 16S ribosomal RNA". It matches the Rfam family "Bacterial small subunit ribosomal RNA", at positions 523 to 796 of the family's 1533-position model. The record is from RNAcentral.